CAAGUAAAUAAUACAUUUUCUGUAAUGUCUUUUACUGACAAUUUACCUUGAAAAGAGCUAAUGGGAAAACAGAACAAAAUGAUAUUAGCGCUUUGCAUUCUACAAAUGGAGUAAUGGCAUCCCAGCAAAGCCCUCUUUGCACGGAAGUAGAGGAGAUAUGCGAAAAGGUCUGUCUUGUUCCUAAAUGUUUUGUACACAAUCAAAGUGUCUCCAUGUUCCUCCACCAGCAGGUUUUGCACUAGGACAACUUCCUUGUUCCUCAACUGGACAGUUAUUCCCAGUGGACAUCUGUACAGAGAAUGGGUAGUAAAGUUUUAAGUUCCUCGGCGUACACAUCACGGACAAACUGAAUUGGUCCACCCACACAGACAGCAUUGUGAAGAAGGCGCCGCAGCGCCUCUUCAACCUCAGGAGGCUGAAGAAAUUCAGCUUGUCACCAAAAGCACUCACAAACUUCUACAGAUGCACAAUCGAGAGCAUCCUGUCAGGCUGUAUCACCGCCUGGUACGGAAACUGCUCCGCCCACAACCGUAAGGCUCUCCAGAAGGUAGUGAGGUCUGCACAAUGCAUCACCGGGGGCAAACUACCUGCCCUCCAGGACACCUACACCACCCGAUGUCACAGGAAGGCCAUAAAGAUCAUCAAGGACAACAACCACCCGAGCCACUGCCUAUUCACCCCGCUAUCAUCCAGAAGGCGAGGUCAGUACAGGUGCAUCAAAGCAGGGACCGAGAGAUUGAAAAACAGCUUCUAUCUCAAGGCCAUCAGACUGUUAAACAGCCACCACUAACAUUGAGUAGCUGCUGCCAACAUACUGACUCAACUUCAGCUCACUUUAAUAAUGGAAAUUGAUGUAAAAAAUGUAUCACUAGCCACUUUAAACAAUGCCACUUAAUAUAAUGUUUACAUACCCUACGUUACUCAUUUCAUAUUUAUAUGUAUAUACUGUACUCUAUAUCAUCUACUGCAUCUUGCCAUCUUUAUGGAAUACAUGUAUCAUUAGCCACUUUAAACUUUGACACUUAUGUUUACAUACCCU
Oncorhynchus tshawytscha (Chinook salmon) is the source of this 1039-nucleotide long non-coding RNA. The record is from Ensembl. NCBI's taxonomy places the organism in Eukaryota, Metazoa, Chordata, Actinopteri, Salmoniformes, Salmonidae.